UUCGAUGGAUAGGGGUUCUGAGAGGAAGGUCCCCCACAUUGGAACUGAGACACGGUCCAAACUCCUACGGGAGGCAGCAGUGAGGAAUAUUGGUCAAUGGGCGCUAGCCUGAACCAGCCAAGUAGCGUGAAGGAUGAAGGCUCUAUGGGUCGUAAACUUCUUUUAUAUAAGAAUAAAGUGCAGUAUGUAUACUGUUUUGUAUGUAUU
This 207-nucleotide ribosomal RNA is filed under the name Bacteroides fragilis. RNAcentral describes it as "partial 16S ribosomal RNA". It matches the Rfam family "Bacterial small subunit ribosomal RNA", at positions 275 to 479 of the family's 1533-position model. The record is from RNAcentral. Lineage: Bacteria; Pseudomonadati; Bacteroidota; Bacteroidia; Bacteroidales; Bacteroidaceae.